UUAAGUGUGUGUUUUUUUUUUUUUUUUUUAAAAAAAAGAAAAAAAUAACAACCCUUAGCCUCCAGUGCGUUACUGUGAUAUGUUCUGUGCGUGCCAAAUUCUAAUAGCCUGAAUAAAUGGGGUUUCCCUCCCCUGGGUCAGUGA
Molecule: non-coding RNA, 144 nt
Organism: Tinamus guttatus (white-throated tinamou)
Lineage: Eukaryota; Metazoa; Chordata; Aves; Tinamiformes; Tinamidae
Source: RefSeq, a predicted model, not a curated record